GCGGGUGUGGCGGAACUGGCAGACGCACUGGAUUUAGGUUCCAGCGCCGCAAGGCGUGGAGGUUCGACUCCUCUCACCCGCACCA
RNAcentral lists this transfer RNA (85 nucleotides) under Pelagibacterium halotolerans. RNAcentral's name for it is "tRNA-Leu". It matches the Rfam family "tRNA". Rfam says of the family: Transfer RNA (tRNA) molecules are approximately 80 nucleotides in length. Their secondary structure includes four short double-helical elements and three loops (D, anti-codon, and T loops). Further hydrogen bonds mediate the characteristic L-shaped molecular structure. tRNAs have two regions of fundamental functional importance: the anti-codon, which is responsible for specific mRNA codon recognition, and the 3' end, to which the tRNAs corresponding amino acid is attached (by aminoacyl-tRNA synthetases). tRNAs cope with the degeneracy of the genetic code in two manners: having more than one tRNA (with a specific anti-codon) for a particular amino acid; and 'wobble' base-pairing, i.e. permitting non-standard base-pairing at the 3rd anti-codon position. RNAcentral also lists the same sequence under 10 other names. Lineage: Bacteria; Pseudomonadati; Pseudomonadota; Alphaproteobacteria; Hyphomicrobiales; Devosiaceae. The record is from RNAcentral.